CCUANGGGGGGCAGCAGUGGGGAAUUUUCCGCAAUGGGCGAAAGCCUGACGGAGCAAUACCGCGUGAGGGAUGACGGCCUAUGGGUUGUAAACCUCUUUUUUCAGGGAGGAAUCAAAUGACGUGUACCUGAGGAAUAAGCAUCGGCUAACUCCGUGCCAGCAGCCGCGGUAAGACGGAGGAUGCAAGUGUUAUCCGGAAUCACUGGGCGUAAAGCGUCUGUAGGUGGUCAAAUAAGUCAACUGUUAAAUCUUGAGGCUCAACCUCAAAAUCGCAGUCGAAACUAUUAGACUAGAGUAUAGUAGGGGUAAAGGGAAUUUCCAGUGGAGCGGUGAAAUGCGUAGAGAUUGGAAAGAACACCGAUGGCGAAGGCACUUUACUGGGCUAUUACUAACACUGAGAGACGAAAGCUAGGGUAGCAAAUGGGAUUAGAUACCCUGNUANUC
Molecule: ribosomal RNA, 444 nt
Filed under: uncultured bacterium
Lineage: Bacteria
Description: bacterial SSU rRNA
Rfam family: Bacterial small subunit ribosomal RNA
Source: RNAcentral